UACGGAGGGUGCAAGCGUUAAUCGGAAUUACUGGGCGUAAAGGGUGCGUAGGUGGUUGUGUAAGUUAUCUGUGAAAUCCCCGGGCUCAACCUGGGCAGGUCAGAUAAUACUGCAUAACUCGAGUAUGGGAGAGGGUAGUGGAAUUUCCGGUGUAGCGGUGAAAUGCGUAGAGAUCGGAAGGAACACCAGUGGCGAAGGCGGCUACCUGGCCCAAUACUGACACUGAGGCACGAAAGCGUGGGGAGCAAACAGGAUUAGAAACCCUAGUAGU
RNAcentral lists this ribosomal RNA (271 nucleotides) under uncultured bacterium. Its description in RNAcentral is "partial 16S ribosomal RNA". It matches the Rfam family "Bacterial small subunit ribosomal RNA", at positions 524 to 794 of the family's 1533-position model. The record is from RNAcentral.